Molecule: ribosomal RNA, 497 nt
Filed under: uncultured bacterium
Lineage: Bacteria
Description: partial 16S ribosomal RNA
Rfam family: Bacterial small subunit ribosomal RNA
Source: RNAcentral
GACGAACGCUGGCGGCGUGCCUAAUACAUGCAAGUUGAGCGAUGAAGAUUGGUGCUUGCACCAAUUUGAAGAGCAGCGAACGGGUGAGUAACGCGUGGGGAAUCUGCCUUUGAGCGGGGGACAACAUUUGGAAACGAAUGCUAAUACCGCAUAACAACUUUAAACAUAAGUUUUAAGUUUGAAAGAUGCAAUUGCAUCACUCAAAGAUGAUCCCGCGUUGUAUUAGCUAGUUGGUGAGGUAAAGGCUCACCAAGGCGAUGAUACGUAGCCGACCUGAGAGGGUGAUCGGCCACAUUGGGACUGAGACACGGCCCAAACUCCUACGGGAGGCAGCAGUAGGGAAUCUUCGGCAAUGGACGAAAGUCUGACCGAGCAACGCCGCGUGAGUGAAGAAGGUUUUCGGAUCGUAAAACUCUGUUGGUAGAGAAGAACGUUGGCGAGAGUGGAAAGCUCAUCAAGUGACGGUAACUACACAGAAAGGGACGGCUAACUACGUG